Patiria miniata (bat star) is the source of this 228-nucleotide long non-coding RNA. RefSeq lists it as uncharacterized. The transcript is spliced from 2 exons. The record is from RefSeq and is a predicted model, not a curated record. Lineage: Eukaryota; Metazoa; Echinodermata; Asteroidea; Valvatida; Asterinidae.
GGCCUUUUGCACAGCAAUGGACCUGACGAUACUGAAAGCGUGUUUGGGGCUGGUAUCCUGGGACCUUCACGUGGUGGCCCUGUUUAAACUAAUCUUACCAGGAUGUGCUUCCAGAAGGUUUACAUCUAAAAACAUUAAGGUACAACCUACCAUGGAUGAGAAGCUUACUGGAGAGAAGAGGGAAAGCAUGGGCGUCGCGAGGGGGGGGGCACUUGCUCCCCCCCCCCC